AAGGCUUUAGCUUAAUUAAAGUGUCUGUUUUGCAUACAGGAGAUGUGAGAUAGUGUCUCGCAAGUCUUA
RNAcentral lists this transfer RNA (69 nucleotides) under Nannacara anomala (goldeneye cichlid). Its description in RNAcentral is "tRNA-Ala". It matches the Rfam family "tRNA". From Rfam's summary of the family: Transfer RNA (tRNA) molecules are approximately 80 nucleotides in length. Their secondary structure includes four short double-helical elements and three loops (D, anti-codon, and T loops). The record is from RNAcentral. Lineage: Eukaryota; Metazoa; Chordata; Actinopteri; Cichliformes; Cichlidae.